GAUGAACGCUGGCGGCGUGCCUAAUACAUGCAAGUCGAGCGAACAGACGAGGCGCUUGCUCCUCUGACGUUAGCGGCGGACGGGUGAGUAACACGUGGAUAACCUACCUAUAAGACUGGGAUAACUUCGGGAACCCGGAUCUAAUACCGGAUAAUAUAUUGAACCGCAUGGUUCAAUAGUGAAAGACGGUUUUGCUGUCCCUUAUAGAUGGAUCCGCGCCGCAUUAGCUAGUUGGUAAGGUAACGGCUUACCAAGGCAACGAUGCGUAGCCGACCUGAGAGGGUGAUCGGCCACACUGGAACUGAGACACGGUCCAGACUCCUACGGGAGGCAGCAGUAGGGAAUCUUCCGCAAUGGGCGAAAGCCUGACGGAGCAACGCCGCGUGAGUGAUGAAGGUCUUCGGAUCGUAAAGCUCUGUUAUUAGGGAAGAACAAAUGUGUAAGUAACUAUGCACGUCUUGACGGUACCUAAUCAGAAAGCCACGGCUAACUACGUG
RNAcentral lists this ribosomal RNA (497 nucleotides) under uncultured bacterium. Its description in RNAcentral is "partial 16S ribosomal RNA". It matches the Rfam family "Bacterial small subunit ribosomal RNA", at positions 28 to 507 of the family's 1533-position model. The record is from RNAcentral.